Gorilla gorilla gorilla (western lowland gorilla) is the source of this 66-nucleotide regulatory RNA element. It matches the Rfam family "MAT2A 3'UTR stem loop F". Lineage: Eukaryota; Metazoa; Chordata; Mammalia; Primates; Hominidae. The record is from Rfam.
CAUGGAGAAAGCUGACUUGGCUGGUGUGGUGCAGAGAAGCCAGCUUGUUUAUGUGCUUAUUCCAUG